AUUGAACGCUGGCGGCAGGCCUAACGCAUGCAAGUCGAACGGUAGCACAGAGCGCUUGCUCUCGGGUGACGAGUGGCGGACGGGUGAGUAAUGUCUGGGAAACUGCCCGAUGGAGGGGGCUAACUACUGGAAACGGUAGCUAAUACCGCAUAACGUCGCAAGACCAAAGUGGGGGACCUUCGGGCCUCACACCAUCGGAUGUGCCUAGAUGGGAUUAACUAGUAGGUGGGGUAAUGGCUCACCUAGGCGACGAUCCCUAGCUGGUCUGAGAGGAUGACCAGCCACACUGGAACUGAGACACGGUCCAGACUCCUACGGGAGGCAGCAGUGGGGAAUAUUGCACAAUGGGCGCAAGCCUGAUGCAGCCAUGCCGCGUGUAUGAAGAAGGCCCUCGGGUUGUAAAGUACUUUCAGCGGGGAGGAAGGCGGUGAAGUUAAUAACUUCACCGAUUGACGUUACCCGCAGAAGAAGCACCGGCUAACUCCGUGCCAGCAGCCGCCGUAA
RNAcentral lists this ribosomal RNA (504 nucleotides) under uncultured bacterium. Its description in RNAcentral is "partial 16S ribosomal RNA". It matches the Rfam family "Bacterial small subunit ribosomal RNA", at positions 30 to 523 of the family's 1533-position model. The record is from RNAcentral.